Molecule: non-coding RNA, 224 nt
Organism: Scytonema tolypothrichoides VB-61278
Lineage: Bacteria; Bacillati; Cyanobacteriota; Cyanophyceae; Nostocales; Scytonemataceae
Source: Rfam
GUCAACACCUCUGCCUAAAGGCUAGGGCUUCUAGCUCCACUUUAGGAUUAGUUGACCCGGCUCAGUACCAGAUGUACUACGUUAUUGGUAAGUUUUUGAGUUCUCACUCUGGAAUGCUAACGCCAGUUCCGGACUCUGAAACUGAACGAUUAAACAGGUUUACACGGUUAAGCCAGUGUCGUUUAGAAAGUACCGACCAAUAACUUUGUCUCGGCUAACUUUAC